Molecule: ribosomal RNA, 253 nt
Filed under: uncultured bacterium
Lineage: Bacteria
Description: partial 16S ribosomal RNA
Rfam family: Bacterial small subunit ribosomal RNA
Source: RNAcentral
UACGUAGGGGGCAAGCGUUAUCCGGAAUUACUGGGUGUAAAGGGAGAGUAGGCGGCAUGGUAAGUAAGAUGUGAAAGCCCGGGGCUUAACCGCGGGAUUGCAUUUUAAACUAUCAAGCUAGAGUACAGGAGAGGUAAGCGGAAUUCCUAGUGUAGCGGUGAAAUGCGUAGAUAUUAGGAAGAACACCAGUGGCGAAGGCGGCUUACUGGACUGAAACUGACGCUGAGGCUCGAAAGCGUGGGGAGCGAACAGG